Long non-coding RNA from Asparagus officinalis (garden asparagus), 902 nucleotides. RefSeq lists it as uncharacterized. The transcript has 3 exons. NCBI's taxonomy places the organism in Eukaryota, Viridiplantae, Streptophyta, Magnoliopsida, Asparagales, Asparagaceae. The record is from RefSeq and is a predicted model, not a curated record.
UGGGGUCCGCCCUCUUGUAUGAAACCAUCUGACCGAGAGUUCCCUGUAGAUUCACGAUUUUUCCCCAUUUCCGACUCUGGUCUCUCUUCCUCCUCAUCCUACCUGAGUCACCUUAACCUGAAUUCUUCGCUGAUUUUCUCACCGAAAUUGGACAAGAAAGUCUCAAAGACAUUUAUAGUAUGCAGACGGGACCAUUGACAUAUGAGGUCUUAUAUGACCAAUAUCGACACUGAUCCGCGAAGAUAAACUUAAGGGAGGCCCUGGGUAUUACUAUUGUUGAUCAUACUUGUGCACAUUCAAGUUGGGAUUUGACGGAUCCAUAGGUUCAAUAUUAUGUUCGUCAAGCAGGUUUUUUUUUAAUAUUCACAAUUAAAAUGGGUAAGAUUCGAUUGGCCUCUCUUGACAACAUUGAUUGAACGAUGGAGGCCCGAGACAAAUAUAGUCCACACGUGACAAGGAGAGUCAACUAUUACUCUGCAGGAUGUAGGGGUUAUACUUGGCCUCAAAGUGGAUGGAGAUGAUGCUAUGAGUACUGAAGAUUUCAACUGGAUAGGAGUGUGUGAAAGAUUAUCAGGCCAAUCUCCUAAUAUGAAGGGUGGUAAGAUCAAGCUCGAGUGGUUACGAAAUAAUUACAUGAAUAUAUCGGUCGAUGCAACAAAUGAGAACAUCAAGACGUAUGCCAAUGCGUAUAUACUCCAUCUGAUCGUUAUCAUUCUAUUUUUAGAUUCAACUAAGGAAAUCAGUGCAUGUUAGAUGGUUGUCACUUCUUAGGAAUCUGGAGAAGUGUGGAGAAUUAUCUUAGGGAGUGCAGUGUUAGCUUAUCUUUAUAGGGAGAUGAUAAAAGUGGCUGUAGGCUGUCAAAAAAUUACUACAGAUAGCUGUUGGCCUCUUUGUUUUGAUGA